RNAcentral lists this unclassified non-coding RNA (181 nucleotides) under uncultured fungus. RNAcentral describes it as "sequence contains ITS2". Lineage: Eukaryota; Fungi. The record is from RNAcentral.
AUAUUAAGAGGCUUAAAAUUGAAUCAUUUUGGUAUGAUUUGAGCGUACUUAAAAAAAAAUUUCUUUAUUGCGCUUGGUGAAUAUCGAACGUUUUAUUAGGAUGACCAUUGAUCAUGGUUUUAUGCCUAUAAUCAUCUUUGAUUUCGACCUCAAAUCAGGUAGGAAUACCCGCUGAACUUAA